This 493-nucleotide ribosomal RNA is filed under the name Staphylococcus aureus. RNAcentral's name for it is "partial 23S ribosomal RNA". It matches the Rfam family "Bacterial large subunit ribosomal RNA", at positions 551 to 1045 of the family's 2925-position model. The record is from RNAcentral. Lineage: Bacteria; Bacillati; Bacillota; Bacilli; Caryophanales; Staphylococcaceae.
UGAAACCGUGUGCUUACAAGUAGUCAGAGCCCGUUAAUGGGUGAUGGCGUGCCUUUUGUAGAAUGAACCGGCGAGUUACGAUUUGAUGCAAGGUUAAGCAGUAAAUGUGGAGCCGUAGCGAAAGCGAGUCUGAAUAGGGCGUUUAGUAUUUGGUCGUAGACCCGAAACCAGGUGAUCUACCCUUGGUCAGGUUGAAGUUCAGGUAACACUGAAUGGAGGACCGAACCGACUUACGUUGAAAAGUGAGCGGAUGAACUGAGGGUAGCGGAGAAAUUCCAAUCGAACCUGGAGAUAGCUGGUUCUCUCCGAAAUAGCUUUAGGGCUAGCCUCAAGUGAUGAUUAUUGGAGGUAGAGCACUGUUUGGACGAGGGGCCCCUCUCGGGUUACCGAAUUCAGACAAACUCCGAAUGCCAAUUAAUUUAACUUGGGAGUCAGAACAUGGGUGAUAAGGUCCGUGUUCGAAAGGGAAACAGCCCAGACCACCAGCUAAGGU